Molecule: ribosomal RNA, 467 nt
Filed under: uncultured bacterium
Lineage: Bacteria
Description: partial 16S ribosomal RNA
Rfam family: Bacterial small subunit ribosomal RNA
Source: RNAcentral
GAUGAACGCUGGCGGCGCGCCUAACACAUGCAAGUCGAACGAUUAAAGCACCUUCGGGUGUGUAUAAAGUGGCGAACGGCUGAGUAACACGUGGGCAACCUGCCCCUUUCAUUGGGAUAGCCACGGGAAACCGUGGAUAAUACCGAAUACUUCGAGACUUCCGCAUGGAAGACUCGAGAAAGCUCCGGCGGAGAGGGGUGGGCCCGCGGCCUGUUAGCUUGUUGGUGGGGUAACGGCCUACCAAGGCAAUGAUGGGUAGCUGGGUUGAGAGACCGACCAGCCAGAUUGGGACUGAGACACGGCCCAGACUCCUACGGGAGGCAGCAGUGGGGAAUCUUGCACAAUGGGCGAAAGCCUGAUGCAGCGACGCCGCGUGCGGGAUGAAGGCCUUCGGGUUGUAAACCGCUUUCAGCAGGGACGAGGCGAAAGUGACGGUACCUGCAGAAGAAGCCCCGGCUAACUACGUG